AAUCCUUGAGAUGACACAAAACCUAGAGAGAAAUCAGAAGGGAACCAAUUCAGUACAACAAUUACUGCGCUGAGAUCUACUGUUUACUGAUGAAGGACUUGGUUAUGAGAAGCAGCAAGAAGCAGAGGAUGGAUCAGAUUCUGUUACUUCAUGUGUCCCUGAACUCAAACUUAAGAAGAACACCUUUUACACAGCCUCCAUCGAACACCAGUUAAACAUCUCUUGCCCUGUGACAUACUGUAAUGAGACUCCUGUUGUCGAAUGGAUAAAAAUUGGUGACAUUGGUAACAUGUUUGUACACAUCAAAGAAACAAAUCAAGUAACAAUUACAGAGGAACAAACAGGCUUGAAUGAGAUAAUCUCAUAUUUACACUUCAGGAACUUUGUACCAGAUGAUAGUGGCAUUUAUAGAUGUAAGGUUACUACAUCAGGCUUUUCAUUAGAAAGCCACAACAUUAACGUCAAUGUUUCAGAUUCUGUUACUUCAUGUGUCCCUGAAAUCAAACUUAAGAAGAACACCUUUUACACAGCCUCCAUCGAACACCAGUUAAACAUCUCUUGCCCUGUGACAUACUGUAAUGAGAUUCCUGUUGUUGAAUGGAUAAAAAUUUAUGACACAAACAAUUUUAUACACAUCAAUGUAACAAAUCAGGUAACAAUUACAGAGGAACAAACAGGCUUGAAGGAGAUAAUCUCAUAGUUGAGCUUCAGGAACUUUGUACCAGAUGAUAUUGGCAUUUAUCGAUGUAAGGUUACUACAUCAGGCUUUUCAGUAGAAAGCCACAACAUUGACGUCAAUGUUUCAGGUAAGGAAUGGAAUCAAAUCUCUUUUUAUUGGUGUUUAGGGUGAUCCUACUUAGAGCAACAAACAAUAAUGUAAAUUACAAUAAUGUAUGUUUUAAAUGUUGCUGAAACUAUUUUCCACAGGAAGCAUUCUGGCAACUUCUGUUGAAAGUGAGGGCCUACAUUUUUUUAACAUAUUUCUAUUUGUGUCUGUAUCUAUAUGUCUCAAAUCAGCUCAACUCAUGCUUUAUUGUCAUUUUUCCUAAUACACGGUAUAAAAAAGAAGGAGAUGUCAUUACUACAGGCCAAGGUGCAUAAGUAAUGCAUAAUUUGUAUUUGUGUCUAUAUCAGCAUUUGUGUCUGUAGCUAACGUACCCCAACCACAAGAAAGUAAAUCUCACUUGCUUGCACUUGCUUUUUUUUUAUAAUUUCCUGUGGAUUUACCAUGAACCAGGUUCCUAGUGAGAUCCCCCCCCAACACACACAUGGCAUGCAUCCUUUUAUAUAAAUUUAAAACACAUUAUCGGUUCUUCUUACAUGAAUAAUUAAGCUUUGCUAUUAAUCAUUUUAUAAGAAAAUUAACUGAAUUAAUCUAACCUGUUAAUAAGCAUAACUUUUUACAUCUUAAACCUAUACAGACACCGACACAAUCGUAACCACAUUAGUCCUCGUUCUCACGAUAGUGAUGCUGAUCUGCUAUCUGACCAAAUGCCGACGUGGGUGUCCAACCAAAAGAACCAAUUGUGAAACUGAAUACACCACUGUGGUAUACACUGUGAUUCCAUUCAGCCCUGAUAUUUCAACAUGUGAAAGUCUUGAGAAACAAAGAAAAUGACACAAGAUCAUUUAAAAUUAGCCACUUUUAUCCUUUCUGUUUUAUCUCAUUGUCUAUAGUUAAAGAAACAAUCCAGACACAAGUUUGUAUACUGCAUUGCAUUUUGGCUGAAAUUACAUACUUGUGUUUUUUCUGAAAACAACAAGCUAACACCUUUCUUGUAAAUUUGUAAAAAGUCUUUCAGGCCAUAUAUGAUGUCAAAGGAUGUGGUCUACUGUUGAACUCUUGCAUGAAUUAAAAUAAGGGGCAUGCCAUGCCUUUGUACAAAGUAUAAAGUCUAUAGGAAGCCAACAACUUAAGACAUAGACUGUAAUGAUAGAAUUUAUAAUAUAGAACAUUGAAUUUCACUGUGCUGUAAUGUAUAUCUGACAAUAAUAAAGGUUUCUUCUUAUU
Long non-coding RNA from Tachysurus fulvidraco (yellow catfish), 2011 nucleotides. RefSeq lists it as uncharacterized. The transcript has 5 exons. The record is from RefSeq and is a predicted model, not a curated record. NCBI's taxonomy places the organism in Eukaryota, Metazoa, Chordata, Actinopteri, Siluriformes, Bagridae.